GAUGAACGUUGGCGGUGUGCCUAAUACAUGCAAGUCGAACGGAGUUAAUAGCAAUAUUGACUUAGUGGCGAACGGGUGAGUAACGCGUUGGUGAUCUGCCUUGAAGUGUGGAAUAACGCUCCGAAAGGAGCGCUAAUACCGCAUGUGCUCUCAAUUUUUAGAAAGUUGAGAGGAAAGGAUUUAUUCGCUUCGAGAGGAGCCUGCGUCCCAUCAGCUGGUUGGUAGGGUAAAGGCCUACCAAGGCAAUGACGGGUAGGGGACCUGAGAGGGUGGCCCCCCAAAUGGAACUGAAACACGGUCCAUACACCUACGGGUGGCAGCAGUAGGGAAUAUUAGAAAUGGACGAAAGUCUGAUCUAGCAACACCGCGUGUGCGAAGAAGGCCUUGGGUCGUAAAGCACUUUUUGGAAGGAAUAGGAAGGAAUGUACUUCCAGAAUAAGUCUCGGCUAACUACGUG
Molecule: ribosomal RNA, 457 nt
Filed under: uncultured bacterium
Lineage: Bacteria
Description: bacterial SSU rRNA
Rfam family: Bacterial small subunit ribosomal RNA
Source: RNAcentral